Molecule: ribosomal RNA, 120 nt
Filed under: Acyrthosiphon pisum (pea aphid)
Lineage: Eukaryota; Metazoa; Arthropoda; Insecta; Hemiptera; Aphididae
Source: RNAcentral
GCCAACGAUCAUACCACGUUGAAUAUACCAGUUAUCGUCCGAUCAUUGAAGUUACGCAUCAUAGGUCGUAGUUAGUACUUGGAUGGGUGACCGCUUGGGAAAACAAUACGUGCGUUUUUU